GAACCAGUCUCGCUGAAUCUCCGAACGUUGGAGAACGGGGGAACCAAUACGAAAUGGAACUGAUGAAGUGUUCAGCAUAUGUCGUAUUUGAUUUCUUUUAUUGGGUCUUUGGGGUGAAUUUAAAGGCAUCCGCCAUGAGCGGUUGACCUAAGAUAGGGCGACUCUCUUUCGUCCAAACCCGACAGCUAACCUCGUAAGCGUUAUGAAGAGAGGCA
RNAcentral lists this small RNA (215 nucleotides) under Paenibacillus antarcticus. Its description in RNAcentral is "c-di-AMP sequence". It matches the Rfam family "c-di-AMP riboswitch aptamer (ydaO/yuaA leader)". Rfam says of the family: This family represents a conserved RNA structure found upstream of the ydaO and yuaA genes in Bacillus subtilis and related genes in other bacteria. The ydaO/yuaA element is thought to act as a genetic "off" switch for the ydaO and yuaA genes in its native state. Lineage: Bacteria; Bacillati; Bacillota; Bacilli; Caryophanales; Paenibacillaceae. The record is from Rfam by way of RNAcentral.